This 118-nucleotide non-coding RNA is filed under the name Arsenicicoccus sp. Its description in RNAcentral is "SAM-IV sequence". It matches the Rfam family "SAM (S-adenosyl methionine) riboswitch aptamer". From Rfam's summary of the family: SAM-IV is a mRNA element that regulates gene expression via direct sensing of S-adenosylmethionine (SAM or AdoMet). SAM-IV riboswitches share conserved nucleotide positions with the previously described SAM-I riboswitches sequence analysis and molecular recognition experiments suggest that SAM-I and SAM-IV riboswitches share similar ligand binding sites, but have different scaffolds. The record is from RNAcentral. Lineage: Bacteria; Bacillati; Actinomycetota; Actinomycetes; Micrococcales; Intrasporangiaceae.
GGUCAUGAGUGUCAGCCUCGCAGGCCCCGGCCGGCUGACCGGCAACCCUCCCACCGCGGCGGGGUGCCCCGGGUGACGACCUGGCCGCGCGCCGACCGGAGCGCGGCAAGCGCGAUCA